RNAcentral lists this ribosomal RNA (239 nucleotides) under uncultured bacterium. RNAcentral describes it as "partial 16S ribosomal RNA". It matches the Rfam family "Bacterial small subunit ribosomal RNA", at positions 95 to 334 of the family's 1533-position model. The record is from RNAcentral.
ACGGCGGACGGGUGAGUAACGCGUGGGUAACCUACCCUGUACACACGGAUAACAUACCGAAAGGUAUGCUAAUACGGGAUAAUAUAUUUGAGAGGCAUCUCUUGAAUAUCAAAGGUGAGCCAGUACAGGAUGGACCCGCGUCUGAUUAGCUAGUUGGUAAGGUAACGGCUUACCAAGGCGACGAUCAGUAGCCGACCUGAGAGGGUGAUCGGCCACAUUGGAACUAAGACACGGUCCAA